Halichondria panicea is the source of this 554-nucleotide long non-coding RNA. RefSeq lists it as uncharacterized. NCBI's taxonomy places the organism in Eukaryota, Metazoa, Porifera, Demospongiae, Suberitida, Halichondriidae. The transcript has 3 exons. The record is from RefSeq and is a predicted model, not a curated record.
CUUUCGUUUCUUUCGCUUAAAUUGUGAUGUCUCGUCUAUUCUCGCUUCAGCUUUCAGAACCUCCCCCACUGGGUCAUGCAGAUUACUGGAGAAGUAGUGUCUCUUGGCGUCAUCAUUAUUUUUCUCCACCCCUAGAGAAAAAGUAGGUCAGCAAACCUCACUGGGAGACGUUCCAGAAACUUCUUGGUGUCGUUCCCCUGCAGUGAUGUCCAUUCGUAAUGUCCAGAAGCUUUGCCAUCUGACCCCUUGCUUCCCAUACCCUGAACGUGAUACCACAGUCUUUAACGAUCGUCUGUAGUGUUUGUAGGAAAAACUCAAGGCGGUACUCUGUUUCAUCAAUAGUGAGUAGUGGGUGUGAAAUGAUGUCGUUCAACUCCUUCAAUACCUCAGAUAGUCCUGAACUAAUUGUUUCAUACGACUCUUCGGCUUUUAGGCCAGCAAAAGUAUGAUUGCCUGUAUGAAUGUCAAUAUAAAAAUAUUUUCACCACUUUCUCGUUUAAUAUUUUUAUUGGUAAGCUUACCUAUGCCUGAUAAAACAUUGUCUUGAAUUUCUG